UUAAGACUAAGGCGCUUGAGAGAACUCUGGUGAAGGAACUAGGCAAAAUAGUACCGUAACUUCGGGAGAAGGUACGCUGUUGAUGGUGAAGGAUUUACUCCGUAAGCUAUCGGCAGCCUCAGAAACUAGGCCGCUGCAACUGUUUAUUAAAAACACAGCACUCUGCAAACACGAAAGUGGACGUAUAGGGUGUGAUGCCUGCCCGGUGCUGGAAGGUUAAUUGAUGGGGUUAGCGAAAGCGAAGCUCUUGAUCGAAGCCCCAGUAAACGGCGGCCGUAACUAUAACGGUCCUAAGGUAGCGAAAUUCCUUGUCGGGUAAGUUCCGACCUGCACGAAUGGCAUAAUGAUGGCGGCGCUGUCUCCACCAGAGACUCAGUGAAAUCGAAAUCGCGGUGAAGAUGCCGUGUACCCGCGGCUAGACGGAAAGACCCCGUGAACCUUUACUGCAGCUUUGCACUGAACUUUGACCUUACUUGUGUAGGAUAGGUGGGAGGCUUUGAAGCUCGGACGCUAGUUCGAGUGGAGCCAUCCUUGAAAUACCACCCUGGUAAUGUCGAGGUUCUAACCCAGAUCCGUUAUCCGGAUCGGGGACAGUGUAUGGUGGGUAGUUUGACUGGGGCGGUCUCCUCCUAAAGAGUAACGGAGGAGUACGAAGGUGCGCUCAGCGUGGUCGGAAAUCACGCAAUGAGUAUAAAGGCAAAAGCGCGCUUAACUGCGAGACCGACAAGUCGAGCAGGUACGAAAGUAGGUCUUAGUGAUCCGGUGGUUCUGUAUGGAAGGGCCAUCGCUCAACGGAUAAAAGGUACUCUGGGGAUAACAGGCUGAUACCGCCCAAGAGUUCAUAUCGACGGCGGUGUUUGGCACCUCGAUGUCGGCUCAUCUCAUCCUGGGGCUGAAGCAGGUCCCAAGGGUAUGGCUGUUCGCCAUUUAAAGAGGUACGCGAGCUGGGUUUAGAACGUCGUGAGACAGUUCGGUCCCUAUCUACCGUGGGCGUUGGAGACUUGAGAGGAUCUGCUUCUAGUACGAGAGGACCGAAGUGGACGUACCUCUGGUGUUCGGGUUGUCACGCCAGUGGCACUGCCCGGUAGCUAUGUACGGACGGGAUAACCGCUGAAAGCAUCUAAGCGGGAAGCCCACCUUAAGAUAAGGUCUCCCUGGGGGUUUAACCCCCCUAAAGAGCCGUUAGAGACCAUGACGUUGAUAGGUUCGGUGUGAAGUGCGGUGACGCAUGAAGCUAACGAAUACUAAUUGCUCGUGAGGCUUGACUG
RNAcentral lists this ribosomal RNA (1268 nucleotides) under metagenome. RNAcentral's name for it is "bacterial LSU rRNA". It matches the Rfam family "Bacterial large subunit ribosomal RNA", at positions 1675 to 2925 of the family's 2925-position model. The record is from RNAcentral.